CGACCACCCCGGGGGUUCACCAACGUGUGAGCAGCUGUCAGCCAGUUGGACUAUAAAUAAGGAUGACAGAACUCCUUGGGGUCUCCCUGGCCUGUGGGGAGGCUCAGACAGCGGUCAGCAGCCUUUCUUCACAGCAGUAUCAGCAGUGUGAUGUGGCAAGGCCAGCAGAGCCCCCAAGAGCCCCCGCCAAGGUGAAGGUCACAGAGGCAAGGCCAACCAGGAUAUCUUGGUCCCCUGUUCAAAGCUCGGAGACCAAAACCAAAGACCAUCCAGGCCUGGGACAUUCUGAUUCUACCCAGCAGUCAUGUGCUGAGCUCCCACCAGGAACCAGAAAAGGUGGGCACGAAGACAGAGAGGUGAUGGAGACCCCCGUCCCAGGACCUUCAGGGCUCUGCCCCCAGCCACCACCACGGCCAGCAUCUCAGCUGUCCGGCCCACCCUCUCAAGCCCUUUGCCACGAGGUCCUGAAAUCCCCGUUAACCCAGCUGUACUAUUCGCUCUUUUUUUUCCCCCCAAUAAACACUCAUCGUGCUUCGUCCAUGUGUCAGGCACAGGGCAGAUCCAGGAGCCUUGGCCCCUGAACAAAAUAAAUGACUCUCCCGUGUGCUGUGGUCACAGCUGGAGCCUCUCACCUUGAACCUGGAACAUCUUUCUCCCCGCUCACUGUCGAUGCCGUUUGCCACCGUGCCGCCACUGUCACCUUUCUGCGGGGUCACUGUCACUGGUGCUCCCCGCUCUGGGGUGGGCAGCCCUCGUCUUUCUGUGGACCUUGU
Camelus dromedarius (Arabian camel) is the source of this 773-nucleotide long non-coding RNA. RefSeq lists it as uncharacterized. The record is from RefSeq and is a predicted model, not a curated record. NCBI's taxonomy places the organism in Eukaryota, Metazoa, Chordata, Mammalia, Artiodactyla, Camelidae. The transcript is spliced from 3 exons.